This 586-nucleotide long non-coding RNA is filed under the name Suricata suricatta (meerkat). RNAcentral describes it as "lncRNA (ENSSSUG00005020323.1)". The record is from RNAcentral. Lineage: Eukaryota; Metazoa; Chordata; Mammalia; Carnivora; Herpestidae.
GGCCUAUGGCCGCGCACAUUGGACGCUGGACAAUGGAGGGAAGUUUUCAGAUCAAGGACAUCUGAAAAUAGAAAAGAAAAAACUAUUGGAAAAAGGAACAUGAUUAAAGGUGAUAAAGUGCAAUCAGUGCAGAAGGAAAGACACUGUGCUUCCCUAAACUCCAGAUGAAUCUUCAAAACAUUAGGAAGAUGGGCAGCCAAUUCAGCACCCUGAAGGUUCAGCAUUCAGUUGGGGUCAGAUAGAAGGUCAAUUUCACAUCCUCCUAUUUUAUCUGUGAUCUUCUGUGGCAUACAGCAUCUCCCAGGCGUGUCAGACAGCUGUGGCUCAGAGUUUGCUAUUUCUUCAGUAAAAAGACCAAUGAUCUGGGGCACGUGGCUCAGUUGGUUAAGCGUCCGGCUUCCGGCUUCGGCUCAGGUGAUGAUCUCACGGGUUCGUGGGUUUGAGCCCUGCGUCAGGUCCUGUGCUGACAGCUAACUCAGAGCCUGGAGCCUGCUUUGGAUUCUGUGUCUCCCUCUCUCUCUGACCCUCCCCUGCUUGUGCUGUCUCUCUCUCUCAAAAAUAAAUAAAAAAACAUUAAAAAAAAAAG